CUACGGGAGGCAGCAGUAAGGAAUAUUGCGCAAUGGAGGCAACUCUGACGCAGCCAUGCCGCGUGCAGGAAGAAGGCCUUAUGGGUCGUAAACUGCUUUUAUUUAGGAAUAAACCCCCGAACGUGUUCGGGGCUGAAGGUACUAAACGAAUAAGCACCGGCUAACUCCGUGCCAGCAGCCGCGGUAAUACGGAGGGUGCAAGCGUUAUCCGGAUUUAUUGGGUUUAAAGGGUGCGCAGGCGGGCUAUUAAGUCAGUGGUGAAAUCCCGGGGCUCAACUCCGGAACUGCCAUUGAUACUGAUAGUCUUGAGUUUGGUUGAAGUGGGCGGAAUGUAGCAUGUAGCGGUGAAAUGCAUAGAUAUGCUACAGAACACCAAUCGCGAAGGCAGCUCACUAAGCCAAAACUGACGCUCAUGCACGAAAGUGUGGGGAUCAAACAGGAUUAGAUACCCUAGUAGUC
RNAcentral lists this ribosomal RNA (459 nucleotides) under uncultured bacterium. Its description in RNAcentral is "partial 16S ribosomal RNA". It matches the Rfam family "Bacterial small subunit ribosomal RNA", at positions 339 to 795 of the family's 1533-position model. The record is from RNAcentral.